Molecule: non-coding RNA, 77 nt
Filed under: Gemmatirosa kalamazoonensis
Lineage: Bacteria; Pseudomonadati; Gemmatimonadota; Gemmatimonadia; Gemmatimonadales; Gemmatimonadaceae
Source: RNAcentral
CUGAACGCCCGUGGUGAUUUGCCGCCUAUUGCCGCCACGUAAAACAAGGUGCUAAAACGCGACGCGCCCGGCGGCCA